GAUUUCUGGUUUAAUGCACCUGGCCCGCGGCCACUAGGCUUGUGAGUGCCGGCGCGCGUUUACCAUCCUUCUAGAAAACGUUUCUGCCAUUCACUUGGUUGGGAUCGCGAUCUAGAUCUUUUACUUUGAAAAAAUUAGAGUGUUUAAAGCAGGCUUUUGCUAUGAAUACAUUAGCAUGGAAUAAUAAUCUAGGACUUCGGUUCUAUUUUGUUGGUUUCUAUAACUGAAGUAAUGAUUGAUAGGGAUAGUUGGGGGUGCUAGUAUUGGCCGGCCAGAGGUGAAAUUCUUGGAUUCGGUCAAGACUAACUUAUGCGAAAGCAUU
This 322-nucleotide ribosomal RNA is filed under the name uncultured Cercozoa. Its description in RNAcentral is "SSU rRNA". The stretch from base 105 to 322 matches the Rfam family "Eukaryotic small subunit ribosomal RNA", at positions 736 to 955 of the family's 1831-position model. Lineage: Eukaryota; Cercozoa. The record is from RNAcentral.